UCUCUUUCUCCAAUUUCUUGCCAGUGCCCUCUACUCACCUAAAAGAAUCAGAAGGUAGCUGGAAGCAGACAACCACAGUGAUGUAGAGCCUGGAGCACACAGUAUGGAAGAGAAGCACCGAAGAGAUAUGGGUGGGGAAAAAUGGAGAAGAAUAGAGACCGUGACUUCCGCUGAUCCUCAGUUUGAGAUGCCCAUGGGCAGAGAAACCUCCUUCUUCAUUUCAUGGUACCAUACGUGUUUCAUGGAAUGGAUAUGCCCA
RNAcentral lists this long non-coding RNA (259 nucleotides) under Vulpes vulpes (red fox). Its description in RNAcentral is "lncRNA (ENSVVUG00000001411.1)". The record is from RNAcentral. Lineage: Eukaryota; Metazoa; Chordata; Mammalia; Carnivora; Canidae.